Daphnia pulicaria is the source of this 651-nucleotide long non-coding RNA. RefSeq lists it as uncharacterized. The record is from RefSeq and is a predicted model, not a curated record. Lineage: Eukaryota; Metazoa; Arthropoda; Branchiopoda; Diplostraca; Daphniidae. The transcript is spliced from 4 exons.
GGUUUUGUUUACUUGGUCCUGUCGUCUGUGAUGGUUUCUGUUUUAAAAUUUUUUUAUUCUUAUCUGUUUCUAGGAAUAUGGAACCAAAUAGUUAGGGAUUUGAAAUGUGUUUGUGAAUUUGAAUAAAAGUGUUGGGAUUGAAAGAAUGAGUCGCGAAAACCGCAAGGAUAAACCGACUGCCAGAUUUUGUUUGCAAACCAGCAGUUUUCCAUUGCACAUUGAAACCAUCGAAAAGGUUAUGCUUGUGAAAUUCUGGCAUUUAGAAAGAAACCACGGUUAGUGAUGAGUAGAGUAUUCUUUAUUGCAGGCCAUUCACAUCAAUCUGUGAUGAUAACAUAGCCUACAAUUUAUAUGUGGCAAUAAAUUCCAUCUGAUCAUGUGGCCUGAAACUGCUGUACAUUUUCCAAAAAUUUCGUCUCUUGCUGCACGUACCGUCUGUACGCGUUUCGUCACCUGCAGAUAUACUUCAGAACAGUAAAAGUGAUUAUGUUGGUCAACUUUUGAACCCUAAGAUUACACAUUUAGCAUGGUGAAGUCUGAACUUUUUAAUUGCAGUGCAAUGUGCACAUGGAUUUGUUGCAGCCAGCUGGCGAAAGGUGUUCCUCUUGCAGGCUUGCUACCUGUACCAGUUGUAGCUUUCGUCACAUGCAG